GACGAACGCUGGCGGCGUGCUUAACACAUGCAAGUCGAACGGAAAGGCCCUGCUUUUGUGGGGUGCUCGAGUGGCGAACGGGUGAGUAACACGUGAGUAACCUGCCCUUGACUUUGGGAUAACUUCAGGAAAAUGGGGCUAAUACCGGAUAGGAGCUCCUGCUGCAUGGUGGGGGUUGGAAAGUUUCGGCGGUUGGGGAUGGACUCGCGGCUUAUCAGCUUGUUGGUGGGGUAGUGGCUUACCAAGGCUUUGACGGGUAGCCGGCCUGAGAGGGUGACCGGGCACAUUGGGACUGAGAUACGGCCCAGACUCCUACGGGAGGCAGCAGUGGGGAAUAUUGCACAAUGGGCGGAAGCCUGAUGCAGCAACGCCGCGUGCGGGAUGACGGCCUUCGGGUUGUAAACCGCUUUCGCCUGUGACGAAGCGUGAGUGACGGUAAUGGGUAAAGAAGCACCGGCUAACUACGUG
This 468-nucleotide ribosomal RNA is filed under the name uncultured bacterium. RNAcentral's name for it is "partial 16S ribosomal RNA". It matches the Rfam family "Bacterial small subunit ribosomal RNA", at positions 28 to 507 of the family's 1533-position model. The record is from RNAcentral.